AGGACGAACGCUGGCGGCGUGCUUAACACAUGCAAGUCGAACGGUGACCCUCGGAGCUUGCUUCGGGGUGAUCAGUGGCGAACGGGUGAGUAACACGUGAGUAACCUGCCCCAGACUCUGGGAUAAACCCCCGGGAAACCGGAGCUAAUACCGGAUACGACACGGAGAGGCAUCUCUACCGUGUGGUAAAGUUUUUCGGUCUGGGAUGGACUCGCGGCCUAUCAGCUUGUUGGUGAGGUAAUGGCUCACCAAGGCGACGACGGGUA
RNAcentral lists this ribosomal RNA (266 nucleotides) under uncultured bacterium. Its description in RNAcentral is "partial small subunit ribosomal RNA". It matches the Rfam family "Bacterial small subunit ribosomal RNA", at positions 26 to 285 of the family's 1533-position model. The record is from RNAcentral.